CUGAGUUUGAUCUCUGGUACAAAAAAACCAAACAAACUACAACAACAACAAGAAAAGAAUGUGUUCUGAAACAAGAUUUCAUGAAGACUUCCAGGUUGAACAUUUAAAAGAAAGCUCCUUGAAGGAAAGAAGCCAAUUCCAAGAAUUCACUGGAUCCUCAAAAUUCAUUCAAUCCAAACCCAUCUAUUCACCAUGAGGAUCAGACCUGGAGUGCACCUUCCCAAGAUGAAGUGUUGACACACAGCAUGACUAACAUCAAGUUCUACUCUCUUGCUGGCGUGAGCAGAGAGAGGAAGAGAAAGAGAUCGUAACAAGAAUUUAAGGUGGCACCCUUAUCCCCUAACCUCUCUUACAGAAAAAAAAAAAGGCAAAACUCAGAAGGAACUUUCCUGUUAUUUCCCCCACCGGCUGGUCCUGUAUCAAAAGCAGUUUACCAUAGUAUCUCUAAUAUAGGGGAACUGCUGUCAAAGGAGCAGUUUGCUGUAGUAGUUCUAGUACAGAAGGACUUAAGAGACCUGCACUGUGAUAAUAGCUAUUCCAAAAUUAAGACAAACCAUCAGUAUAAUCUUUCUUUAAACAGUCCUUGCCUUCAUGGUGUACAAAGAUUUUUUCUCUCUCUCAAUCUCUCAUUGAUGUUAGCUUACUACAAGAAAUCUAUGUUAUAAUUUGCUCCUCAAAAGAAAAAAAGCACAGGUUGGUAGCCCAUAAAAGUUCUGACUAGCUUAUUUAUAAUUAUAACCCUGAAAUUAUAACAAAUUAACAUAAUUCAUCUUUGCCAGUAGAGCUAAGAGUGCACUUUAACUUAAAAAUAAUUGUUUCGUGUGUUCUGUUUCUUACUGGUCCAUUUAAUAUGAUUAAGGUACCUAUGAAACUGUGUCAGUAAAGUUGUUGGAGCUCAUAUCAAUUUUAUUUUUCUUUAACUUUUGCCCUUGUAAACUUCUGGCUCUUGUGGGUCUUCCAUGAAAAACCAAUUUUACAGGUAUUUUGGGAUAGCCAAACUCACUUAAGACAUUACAAGAUGAGGGCUAAUGGGCUUGUGGCUUACAUGGGACUUAGAAAUAGAAGUCUUAAAGUUUGACAGCAUAAAGCUUAUAUAUGAUUUCCAUUAAUGUGUAUAUUUCUAUAUGUCAAUUUUCAGGUAUAUGCUUCUCUUAAAU
Molecule: non-coding RNA, 1157 nt
Organism: Heterocephalus glaber (naked mole-rat)
Lineage: Eukaryota; Metazoa; Chordata; Mammalia; Rodentia; Bathyergidae
Source: RefSeq, a predicted model, not a curated record